Molecule: small nuclear RNA, 112 nt
Organism: Anthonomus grandis grandis
Lineage: Eukaryota; Metazoa; Arthropoda; Insecta; Coleoptera; Curculionidae
Source: RefSeq, a predicted model, not a curated record
GUAUUUGCUUCUUAGGCACAUACCUAUACUAAAAUUGGAACGAUACAGAAAAAAAUUAGCAUGGCCCCUGCGUAAGGAUGACAGGCAAAAUCAUAAAGCUUUCCACAUUUUC